CAGCCGCCACGGGAAUACGGAGGGGGCUAGCGUUGUUCGGAAUUACUGGGCGUAAAGCGCACGUAGGCGGCUUGGUAAGCUAGAGGUGAAAGCCCAGGGCUCAACCCUGGAAUUGCCUUUAAGACUGCCGAGCUAGUAGGUGAGAGAGGUGAGUGGAAUUCCGAGUGUAGAGGUGAAAUUCGUAGAUAUUCGGAAGAACACCAGUGGCGAAGGCGGCUCACUGGCUCAUUCUAGACGCUGAGGUGCGAAAGCGUGGGGAGCAAACAGGAUUAGAUACCCCCGUAGUCCCUGUCUCUUAUAC
This 301-nucleotide ribosomal RNA is filed under the name uncultured bacterium. RNAcentral's name for it is "partial 16S ribosomal RNA". It matches the Rfam family "Bacterial small subunit ribosomal RNA", at positions 509 to 807 of the family's 1533-position model. The record is from RNAcentral.